GUUUGAUCCUGGCUCAGGAUGAACGCUAGCUACAGGCUUAACACAUGCAAGUCGAGGGGUAGCAGGGUAGCAAUACCGCUGACGACCGGCGCACGGGUGAGUAACACGUAUCCCACCUACCAUUCACACGGGGAUAGCCUUUCGAAAGAAAGAUUAAUACCCGAUAGUAUAACGAUAAGGCAUCUUAUUGUUAUUAAAGGAUUUCGGUGUUUGAUGGGGAUGCGUUCCAUUAGAUUGUUGGUGAGGUAACGGCUCACCAAGUCUUCGAUGGAUAGGGGUUCUGAGAGGAAGGUCCCCCACAUUGGAACUGAGACACGGUCCAAACUCCUACGGGAGGCAGCAGUGAGGAAUAUUGGUCAAUGGACGAGAGUCUGAACCAGCCAAGUAGCGUGAAGGAUGAAGGCCCUAUGGGUCGUAAACUUCUUUUAUAGGGGAAUAAAGUGCGGAACGUGUUCCGCCUUGUAUGUACCCUACGAAUAAGGAUCGGCUAACUCCGUGCCAGCAGCCGCGGUAAUACGGAGGAUCCGAGCGUUAUCCGGAUUUAUUGGGUUUAAAGGGAGCGUANGUGGAUAUAUNAGUCAGUUGUGAAAGUUUGCGGCUCACCCGUAAAAUUGCANUUGAUACUGUAUAUCUNGAGUGUACAAGANGUAGGCGGAAUUCGUGGUGUAA
Molecule: ribosomal RNA, 669 nt
Filed under: Bacteroides sp. GrassCarp7
Lineage: Bacteria; Pseudomonadati; Bacteroidota; Bacteroidia; Bacteroidales; Bacteroidaceae
Description: bacterial SSU rRNA
Rfam family: Bacterial small subunit ribosomal RNA
Source: RNAcentral